GCGGUCGUGGCGGAAUGGCAGACGCGCUAGCUUGAGGGGCUAGUGGAGGAGACUCCGUGGAGGUUCGAGUCCUCUCGACCGCA
Molecule: transfer RNA, 83 nt
Filed under: Scopulibacillus daqui
Lineage: Bacteria; Bacillati; Bacillota; Bacilli; Caryophanales; Sporolactobacillaceae
Also listed under: 1 other name
Description: tRNA-Leu
Rfam family: tRNA
About the family: Transfer RNA (tRNA) molecules are approximately 80 nucleotides in length. Their secondary structure includes four short double-helical elements and three loops (D, anti-codon, and T loops). Further hydrogen bonds mediate the characteristic L-shaped molecular structure. tRNAs have two regions of fundamental functional importance: the anti-codon, which is responsible for specific mRNA codon recognition, and the 3' end, to which the tRNAs corresponding amino acid is attached (by aminoacyl-tRNA synthetases). tRNAs cope with the degeneracy of the genetic code in two manners: having more than one tRNA (with a specific anti-codon) for a particular amino acid; and 'wobble' base-pairing, i.e. permitting non-standard base-pairing at the 3rd anti-codon position.
Source: RNAcentral